This 377-nucleotide ribosomal RNA is filed under the name uncultured eukaryote. RNAcentral describes it as "partial 18S ribosomal RNA". It matches the Rfam family "Eukaryotic small subunit ribosomal RNA", at positions 592 to 975 of the family's 1831-position model. The record is from RNAcentral.
CAAUAGCGUAUAUUUAAGUUGUUGCAGUUAAAAAGCUCGUAGUUGGAUUUCGGGUGGGACGCAGCGGUCUCGCAUUGCGUUUGUACUGCUGCAGCCCUCCUUCUUGCCGGGGGCGGCCUGUCGGACUUCACUGUCUGCGGGUCAGAAUCGGCGAUGUUACUUUGAGUAAAUUAGAGUGUUCAAAGCAAGCUUACGCUCUGAAUAUAAUAGCAUGGGAUAACACGACAGGACUCUGGCCUAUCGUGUUGGUCUAUAGGACCAGAGUAAUGAUUAAGAGGGACAGUCGGGGGCAUUCGUAUUCCGUUGUCAGAGGUGAAAUUCUUGGAUUUACGGAAGACGAACAUCCGCGAAAGCAUUUGCCAAGGAUGUUUNCAUUG